GACGAACGCUGGCGGCGUGCUUAACACAUGCAAGUCGAACGGAAAGGCCCUGCUUUUGUGGGGUGCUCGAGUGGCGAACGGGUGAGUAACACGUGAGUAACCUGCCCUUGACUUUGGGAAAACUUCAGGAAACUGGGGCUAAUACCGGAUAGGAGCUCCUGCUGCAUGGUGGGGGUUGGAAAGUUUCGGCGGUUGGGGAUGGACUCGCGGCUUAUCAGCUUGUUGGUGGGGUAGUGGCUUACCAAGGCUUUGACGGGUAGCCGGCCUGAGAGGGUGACCGGCCACAUUGGGCCUGAGAUACGGCCCAGACUCCUACGGGAGGCAGCAGUGGGGAAUAUUGCACAAUGGGCGGAAGCCUGAUGCAGCAACGCCGCGUGCGGGAUGACGGCCUUCGGGUUGUAAACCGCUUUCGCCUGUGACGAAGCGUGAGUGACGGUAAUGGGUAAAGAAGCACCGGCUAACUACGU
RNAcentral lists this ribosomal RNA (467 nucleotides) under uncultured bacterium. RNAcentral describes it as "partial 16S ribosomal RNA". It matches the Rfam family "Bacterial small subunit ribosomal RNA", at positions 28 to 506 of the family's 1533-position model. The record is from RNAcentral.